UUAAGAAUCUUGGACAAUGGACGCAAGUCUGAUCCAGCGACGCCGCGUGAACGAUGAAGGUCUUCGGAUUGUAAAGUUCAGUAAGGUGGGACGAAUAAGCAGUAUUUAAUACAUACUGUGAUGACGGUACUAUCCUAAAGCCUCGGCUAAAUACGUGCCAGCAGCCGCGGUAAUACGUAUGAGGCAAGCGUUGUUCGGAAUUAUUGGGCAUAAAGGGCAUCUAGGCGGAGUAUUAAGUCGGGUGUGAAAUCUUCAGGCUUAACCUGAAAACUGCAUCCGAUACUGGUACCCUUGAGUUUGGAAGAGGAAGGCGGAAUUCCUGGUGUAGCGGUGAAAUGCGUAGAUAUCAGGAAGAACACCGGAGGCGAAGGCGGCCUUCUGGUCUAUAACUGACGCUAAAGUGCGAAAGCGUGGGGAGCAAACGGG
This 426-nucleotide ribosomal RNA is filed under the name uncultured bacterium. Its description in RNAcentral is "bacterial SSU rRNA". It matches the Rfam family "Bacterial small subunit ribosomal RNA", at positions 355 to 776 of the family's 1533-position model. The record is from RNAcentral.